Molecule: unclassified non-coding RNA, 9849 nt
Filed under: Pomacea canaliculata
Lineage: Eukaryota; Metazoa; Mollusca; Gastropoda; Architaenioglossa; Ampullariidae
Description: store-operated calcium entry regulator STIMATE-like, transcript variant X2
Source: RNAcentral
UUACUGUGCGGAACAAAAUCUAUCCAAAGCUUUUACAUUUAUUUUAAAGAUACUAUAUAUUCUUAGUCAUUACAAAGGUUUAAUUUAUUCACUUUCAGCAAACUCCAAUGACCAAUUCUCCUUGGAGACUUUACAAGUGGUUAGCCAAGUCUACAACUGUUUGAGAAGACCAAGUUAAGCAAUAUGGCGGAAGCUUGAAUCGUGAUUGCUUGGCAGUUUAAAGGACAAUUUGAUUAUCAACUAAAGUUCACGAGAAUCUAAAUGUAAGCGGUGGUGUUUAAAAUGCACACCACAAGUGGAUCUUCAACUUCUGAUAUAUUGUCAUUUAUUGCUGACAUUAACAAUAUUCAUCGAAUGAGGAACUACGAUACAAAUUCGUCUGCUUCUCAGCCUAACGAAGAGUCAAAAGAAAACUGUUCGACCGGCGAUCUUUUGGGGCCUUUCGGCUUACUGGUGCAAGGACUGCUGGCAUUUCUUGCUUUUACAUGUCUUAUAGUGAAAAGAUAUUGUGAGCCAAAGCAUUCACGAAGACCAUGGAAAAUUUGGUUUUAUGACACUUCAAAACAAGCAUUGGGUGCAGCAGUUAUUCACUUUGCCAAUGUGUUCUUGGCAGACCAAUUCCAAGGCGAUCCAUGUACUUGGUAUAUUAUUAGCUUCUUGCUGGACUCAACAGCAGGUCUUUUAGUUAUCUACAUCGGCUUAAAGACCACACAAAUACUGGCACAUCGUUAUUCUUGGAAAUCCCUCUAUUUUGGGGAAUAUGGAGAGCCUCCAAAAUGCAAUGCCUGGUUGGGGCAAACUGUCUUAUAUAUUGUUGUCAUGAUUGUGGAGAAACUUCUUAUGACCCUGCUUGUGCUUUUUGACUUCUGGAAAAAAGUGCGACACAUUAUCAUGUCACCUAUUACCAAUCCUCUUCUAGAGCUGGUGAUAGUUAUGUUUUUGGUUCCACUUGUUGUCAAUGCAAUACUGUUUUGGGUUGUGGACAAUUUUCUGAAGAGGAGUAUACGACAAUCUAAGACCAUUUAUGUCACAUCAGAAGAGUCACGUGUCAAGUACUUUCGUUCCUCAGACAAUGUCAAGUGCUAUAACCGUAUUGAAAAGGGAGAGGAGUCAGACAUUCUUUCUGCUGAAGAAGAUUUUGAAGUGCGUCAGCGGAACAACGAUCCAUCUGAAAGGUUGAUAUCACGAAGAUGAUUAACUUAAAUCCAGGCAGUUAACUUGCUCACCAACCCUUCUUGUUGUUGCACUCCACAAGCAAAGCCCAUUGCAGCUUUUUAUGGGAAAUUAAUGUUUAUUAUGCAUAUAAAAUUCGUUUGAAGCUUGAUCUUGUAUAUAAAGAAUGCUGGCCUUCAGAAAAUCGAGAGGUAAUGGAAUAUUGGAAUACAAAAAGGUACUUGAAUGUAUGUGCUGCAUGGGAAAACAUGUUUGUGUGAUUUUGCAAAAAAGAGAUUUUACUUUUGUUUUAAUAUCUCAUUAGGUAUCUUUAUCCAUUUUAGUUUGUUCUUAAUUAAAAUGGGAAAUCUCCUGGUAGGAAAAGAUAAGUAAUGUCCAAAGCUUCUUGUGUUCAAAGGAGUGUAUUAUUGUAGCAGUAUUAAACCUUAAAAUCAAAAUUUAAAUGUUGUUUUAAGUUUCUAAUUUCUAUAACUGGUGGUCUCAAUUAAAUAAUAUAUAGUAUGUGCAGUUCUUAAGGGCAGUGUUGUUUUCAAGACUUUCAGGUGAGUUAACCAUAUGUAGAGCUGACUUUGUUUCUGAAAUCUGAAUGACAAAUGAAGUUGGGAAAUGGGGGAAUACCAUCAAAAAAGAAACAGCUUAGAAAAUGAUAUUUAUAAUUGUGAUCACUUUAUUGUUAGAAUAUAACCAUUUGUUAACUUUUUGAUUAAGGGUGAGAAGGAUUAGAUUAAAAUGAUUCUUAGCAAAAGCUGAAAAUGUGUCGUACUUUGUUUAGAUAGACUGCACUGCUAAAACUUAAAAUAAUGGGCCUGCUCAGCAGAACAAAAAAUCUAGAUAGUCAAAUUAUCAAAUACAUCAGUUACUAAAUAAGAAACUAUAAAAUCUUGCUAGAUCCUCCAGAUAAGUACUAAAAUAAUUUCACAAAAAGGACAAGUUGUUGCCUAUUGGAGACGCUUUGCAAUUUUAGUAAGUUGUGCUGAACUGGUGUAAAGUUGGUAGCGAUUAAGUCAGAAAGAGGAGGGUGGGGGGGGAGUUACCCCUUGCAGGCAAGCUAGCAUGCUGCAGGAAGAGAGAUGACACCAUUAUCAUUAUAGGAAUAAAGUAUACUUUAUAAUGAAUAAGCUUACAAAAGAGAAACAAAAAUGUGAUGAAAGUGCAGGAUCACAAAGAGAGAGAGAAUUUUAUGUAUGAAGGCUUGGAAGCAUGGUUCUGUUUGUAUAUGCAUGCGAGUAAUCACAGGAGCAAGACACCAUGCUUAUGUGCAUGACUGCACAAGCAUUUGAGUCUUGUGCAUGUGUUUAUGCAUGUCUGCUUGCAUGUAUACCUGGCUAAUUCAAAAAUUUUUAAAGGUGUGAUUGAUUGGGAAAUCUGUGGGUGCAUAUACUCAACUGAUGUUUUGUAAACGCAUCAGCCUCAGCACUUUUGUCAAAAUAGAAGUUAUUUAUUGCUUGAAUCACUGAAUAAAAAAAAAUAAAUUGCAGACAUAAACUGAUCAAAAGCAUCUGUGAGUUCAGCAAGCAUACUGAAAAUAUUUUUUUUAAAUGUUUACCAGCAUAGUUAUUAAGUGUUGAGGCAUGUCUACACUGCUGUUUAUAACACUAUGCUUGACACCCAUACCUUGUAUCUGUAUUGUGCUUGAUGUUAACUAUCAAUCACCAGUCAGCCUUCUUGUGAGAUCCAAUGGCAAGGAAGAUCUAGAACUUGAUAGUGAAACUAAAAGCCAUACUCACAGUUUUCCACACUGACUUUAAGCAAGUACUAAGAAGAAAUUUUUUGUUUAAAUCUUAAUUUGUAGAGGAUUGCCUAUGCAUUGAGCUAAAAUUUUGAUAAACCAUGAAAAGCAAGCAGCAUGUAAGUCUUGUUCUUGUGAUUCUUUAGGACAGAUAACUAAAGUAUGCCAUUAUCUGGGCCUUUAUCCAGACGUAGUAAAAUUUUUCAUUUCUAAUCGCUUUUUCAGAUUAUGUUUCUGAUACUAUCAUCCUUAGAGAAUACAACUUUUGCUGAGCCUUGUACAUUCCUAACAUGAAUCUGAAGAUUUUUGUGUAUGUUGUAAAGAGUUGAAUCCCAUAAGACUGCUGCAUGCAAAAAUCUCAAAUAUUUUCAUACUUGUAUUUGUCCAGUGGAUUGUUUUUUGUUUGCAGGUGAUUUUGUGUGUCACACAUAUUGUGCGAAUGCUAUUGUGUAUUUUAUGAUUUGUCAGUAUGUGGUCUUUUCUUUGCAUGUUAUGAUACUGUUGUUAUUGACUGUUUGGCUUGUUAUACUGUCCUUUUUUGCAAUCUGGGAUCUUAUAUUGUAAAGCCUGCUUAGCUCUCUUGUGAUUCUGUUGAUAUUUACUGGCUUUGAUGUGAACAUUUCUUAACUCACUGCUUCUAUAAGGAAUGUAAAUUAAUGAUAAAUUAUUGCUUUUGUUGCAUAAUUGUUCAUCUUGUUUUGACUAGUAAAAUGUUCCAUUCAUGUUAACAGCAAAAUAAGUGUGUAUAUGUAUAUUGAUAAAACUUGGGUGGGGGGGGGAGUAUUAAGGAUUUUUUUUUUCUUUUUAGAAAAAGAAUACUGUAAAUUUUGGACUUUAUUUUCCAACUUAAAACCAUAUGGCUUAAACAGCAAAAGCUGCUUGUUUGCGGACUUUUCAGAUUUUGAUUAAUAUUUUUUAUAUGAGCUCCAUGUUAAAGUGUUAACUGUUCACAUUUUAAAAUCAAAAUCACAUACAAUUAAAUGAUUCAGAUAAGUUGCUAAAGCACACACUCUCAUAGUGCCAAAAAUUUUAAUGCCUACAAUGCAGCUUAUAAACCAAAGCAGCUUAUUUGUGAAAAAAAAGUGAUUUUUUUAAUUUUUAAAUUUAGUGGUUGCAGCUUAUGUUCAUACAGGUGGGCUCAAUAGAUCGAUUUACAGUACAUGUGCUUCAUUCUUCGUGCAUUUUGUCAUUAUUCACAAGUGACAAAAGAGAUGUUUAUGCUGCUAUAAGAAGUAGGUCUUUGGCUUAGCCAACUUCUUGAGGCAUCAUGCUGAUCUUGGAUAGGAUAUCUACAGUUGGACAGUGCAAACAUGAACUCCUCAACUGCUGUAAAUAAACAGCGGGAGGCAAGAGCCAAAGUCAUGAUGGUCACGUCAUUAAAAAAUGUGUUUAUCAUAAUAAUGGUUUGCCCUUAAAGUGUUAAACUUUGUGUACACCUGUAAAAUAUAUGUAAAAAUUAUUUGAGAGAGUGGGAACUGAAAUGUGGUCUUUAAUUUUUUUUUAUAUAUUACAUAUUGGAAUUUAUUUUCGGUUAUGUUGGCAUGUCAUAAAUGCUAGUGGAGUCUUUGUGGGCAUUGUUGUCAUUCUGGAGUUGAGACUCUGAUGUAUUGGAAUGCUGUAUUUUCAUCAUUAAUUCUUUAGCAUAUGAUUUAAAUGUCAGUAUCAAAUGUUAUUUGGGCUCUUUGUGCCAUUCUGAGGCACUGAUGUUUUGAUAUUUCAUCAUCCUUUUUGCUGGAAUUUAGACACUGACACAACACUCUGCUUACUUUUUCAUACAUCUGCUUAAACGAUCUGCCAUGCACAUUUUUUUUUCUUAUAUGAGAUUAGUUUAAAAUCUUUUUUCGCUGUGAGCAUUGAGACAGCUGAAAACAUUUGAGUGCUGGGACUGAAGCAGUGAUAUUCAAUCAUUUUUUUUACUUGGGAUUGGAGAAAAGGUGAGUAAAGCAUGGUAUUUAGGGCUGUUUACCUUUUUUUCUCUUAAGAUAUUACAAUGCUUACAUUUGAGACUGUGAUUGUUUUUCUUUCUUUUUCUUUUUGAAGUUGCAUGACUUUUGAACCUUAUAUUAUUCGUUUAUGAAAUUAAUACUGUACUUCUGUCUGAUUCGGUUUUUAAGUGUGUUUCUUCACUAACAAUUAUGUUUAUGAUGUCUUUUUAAGAUUGACUUUAAAAGGAUCAAUAGUUGUAAAAAAAUUGUGAAUUAUAUAUGUUUUAAUGAUUUCUUUGUUUUAUUGUUGCAUUCUUUUUUAUCUAUAACAUUUACUGUCAUACUUCUAGUCAUACCAUAUUAGUAAUUCUUUUAUGUAGUGAAAUUUUUCUAAACGACUCAGUGCAUAUCUGUAAAAUACUUCAACUUCUUUGAAUUGAACUCUUAUAAACCCCAUUAUUUUUGUUGAUCUCAAAUCCAUGAGGCUGCAGCAACGAUAAUGCACUUGUUCAGUGAGCUCUGACACAUUUCCCUGUGAGUUCACAGUAUUUAACAAAAGGAGCAGCACAACGCAUACAGUAAUGCAGUUUGCAGACACUGUAUGCAGUUUGCAGACAAUGGAAACAAAGCAAAGGGGGGUGGGGGUGGAGAUGAUGAAAAAAAAGCCCAACUACCAAAGAGAGGGGGCCUUAAAGCCAACCUUGAAAUAGUUAUGGCUUGAUGUGGAUCUCAUUGCUGUCAUGAGAAUUUAAUGUAAGAAGUUAUUUCGUCAAUCGUCGAAUGAUAAGUGCAGAUAGAUGAAAAGAUCUGGAACAUGUGCAAUUAAAGGUAUGCACAUGUUUGUUCAUGUAUGGGCAUGCAGGCACAUGUAUGUUAUGCCUAUUUUGCAAGUUUCACUCAAGUUGAUUUUCCAUUUGUUAUUCUUAGCAAGACUGUUUAUGAUGAAAAACCCACUACAUCUACUCAAUUUUUACUUGCUAUGCGUAUGCUUUUAUAUAUCACAACAAAGUGUCAAGCAUCUUGUUGUUGCAUGCAAAUGUUGAAACAUUGUGCAUCUGUAAAGCUGUUGAAAGUAAGACUGCAUAUUCAAAUAAUUAGUGGCUGUGGGUUCACAGCUUGCUCAAGUCUCCAGUUGAAGAAUUCAUUCUGUCCAGAUGUGUACCUGAUUUCUCAGGGAAAGUAACAGCAGUAGAAGAAGAAUGUUAGAUUUACACCUGUUACAUGUGGGAGCCAAAACAUGGAACUAUUCUCUUCUGCCUCUAGUCCAUUAGACUUUUGCUGGAUUUUCAUUUAAAUACAGAAAAUUCUUUAGUUAUUUUUAUUUAAAGUGUUUUGUUUAUGCUUCAUAUAAUGCUUUGCAGCUUUAUCUAGCACUAAUUCUGUUUGGCUCUUUUUCUCAUUAUAUGUGCAUAGAUUCUUUUCCCUUCAUCCUUGAGGAGAGUUAAUUGUAAAGCCGUCCAUACUGCAUAAAAGGUCAUAUUUAUGUAAAAUAUGCACCACCUAAAGUAAGAUUCGAAGUAAACUAAACCAGAAGAAGCAACUCUUGUAUAUCUCAACAAUUUCUUUCCUCAUUUCACUUUAUGCUUAGUCCUUUAGUAUUAUUUAGCACCAGUAUUCAUCAUAGGGUCUUUUAACUCUUUUGUUUUAUAAGAAAACGCUUUCUUAAAAUAGCAGAAAGUACUUGUAUUUUAUUCCCUUAUUGUAAAUGUGAUGUAUAUAUUGUAAUGCUGAUUAUAUAAAAAAAAAAUUGUCACAGAGCCUGUAGUCUAUACAGCCUGCAGGAAAUAAUCAUAAACAUCAUAAACAGUCUUUCUGUCUUUGGCUUAUGUAUUGUCAGUAGAGACAGUCUGGUGGUAGAUUUAUCCAGACUUGGUGGACAGAUGUUUGUUCAGGAGGGUCAACAUCUAAUGAUAGCUUUUGCUACUCUGAUGGCUUGUAUGAUUGCUCUGACUUAAGCACAUAUGAAGCACACACUUGGCACAUGACUGUGGGUUAAAAAAAAAAUACAGAAAACUUAUCUUUGUGGAGAGGCUUAUAAUAGAUUAUUACAGCCACAAAGGUCUUUUUUAACUAAGCAAAUGUUGCCCAGUGUUUGACCUGUGUGUGACUGUCCCAGGAAGGCAUUUUUUUUAGGAGUAACAUUUAAGACAUUGGAACUUGGGUCAACUUGUUGAGCUAUGUCCAGACUUGUUAGGCACUUUUAGUGGGCACUGAAAAUCAUUAGAGGUAUUUAAUUAUUCAUUUUUUCUUUCCAAAAAAAGACAUUCUCAAAUGUCACCAGAAGUUUUUACUUCUUCCAAGUUGUUCUGCUAGUGAUGUACAAUUUGGAUAGCUGUAUUUGUGGCUAUUGGUGAUCAUCCAUGUUGUACAUAAGUAUUGUUGUUUGUACUCAUAUUUGUGUUCAUAUUUUGUUGGGCAUUCAAACAUAAUUGGCUUACAGAAGCACUUAAGUAACCCCAGUUGCUGACACAAGCAACACUGAACUGAAAAAAAUAAAUUUCAAUUAUUUUUCAAUACAUACCUGGAUUGGUGCAAAGUAGGUUCUCACCUACCUUCUUUUAUCACUGGUACACUUGUGCCUGAUCAUCAUUCUCAUCAUCAUCAUCAUCAUCAUCAACACAGCUCUAGGUCUGUUCACUUAUUAGUCUUUAAGAUCUCAGUUUUUUUUUAUUUUAUUUCUUUAAAUCUUAAAAAGUGUAUUAAAAUCUGUAAAACGUUCUGUCACAUUUUUUUGCGAUUGCAUUGCCUCGCAAUCUAUGAAAUUACUCAUAACAGUCUGCUGGAAUUAUUCUUAUUAAGAAGAAGCAUUUACACCUUAGAGCAUUCUGCACUUUGGGUAGGUAAAAUGCAUUUGUGUUGUGCCUCCAUGAAUUGUCUGUUUCUGUGGUUGGAAAGUGAUCUGCUUGUGAAUGUGUGUUUUGUAGAGAUAUUUAGUAUUUAUCUUAUAAAUAUUCUGAACCAUGUAUACAAAUUUAUCUCUUUGCCUUGAGGACUGGUUCUACCAUUUAAAGCUUUUUUUUUUUUAAAUUCUAACCAUCACAGCCCUAUGCUCCUCGAGCAGUAACAAGGAAUAAAAAAACAUGUGUUGUGUGUACCUUUUUUUUAAAAAUCAAGUUUGUGUUUGUGUUACUUUUUGGAUUGUAUUUUUUGAAGAAUUCAUUAUGCUUUCAACUUGAGGUUGUGUGGAAAAAUACGCCUUCAGUAAAAGUCCUUGUCUUUUUUGCUGUGUUAAUUAAACAACGUAGACUGCUGCUUGUUUCAUCCCUUCUAAGUUGAGUAUGCUAUUUUGCUCAUAGUGCAUAAUAAUUUGGUUUGUUUUGGGGAAGUGAAAUAGAGAAAAUACAUUUUAGUAUUCACCAACAUCAUUUCAGCAUGCCUUAAUCAUGGGAAAAGGCUGUGUGAAUCAUCACCAUAGAUAGUUUUCAGGAGAUACACAGUUACCUUGAUGGUGUGGGAUUUAGUGAAGUUUUCUUAAUAAGGUUUUUUAUGUUUAUCCUUUACCUUCACUUUCUAGUUAACCCUUAUGUUUUUAAAAAAAUGUUCUUACACUUUUUUCUGAGACUGGGUGCAGUGGGUGACCAAUGAUUGCAUUUUCAUUUAGAAAGAGAUUUGAUGCUGCUGUUAUAAACUGAAAGAGUUUUUAUGUUUAUGUAUACUCUGUAGCAUUUAAGUGAAAUCUGUAUAGGGUUUUAUGCAUAUAAUGGAUGUAUCGAACUGAAACACUUUUGCUCCUGCCCCUUGCCAGAUGGGCAUCUUUUUGGUUUUUGUAAGCUUGAAAUUCCAUAAAGGACUCCUACAUAAGAUCAGAGAGCUUGUGCCAUUGCAGGCAACUGUGAGAUCUCGGGGGUUGGUGGGAGACGAGCAGAUCUGGAGAUUAACUUUAUCAGAGGUCUUUUUCAUGACUUCAGAAACACUAACUUUUUACCAUGACUUAGAUAUUUUGUUUAUGCUUUAUUUAUUGUGCAAAAAUCAGACUGGUUCUAGGACUGCUUAUUUUGGUGAUGAAAGACAUACACAAUGGCUAUAUCACUAAUCUUUAUGGUGGCUUCUCACCAAGACACUGAGGAUUGUAGACUAAGGAUUCGAAUCUGGCACACAUUAACUCUCUCUGAAUUUAAAACCUGUUUACAGGACUUUGCUAGUGCGCCAUGAUAUAUCCUCAGUUGCUGACUCAAGGUAAAUCAACAACAACCAAUCUCUUCCCAGGAGAUGAAUUAAGAUGUGUAUACCUCAGGUGUCAUGGAAUCAUGUUGCUUCAAUGCAGACAAUAAAACUAACAACAUAAUAUCUCCGCUUAGUUUUAUGUUUUGCCUAUUUUUUUCUUUCAUAUGUCAUGUUUUUAAUGUAAGGGAUGUGUUCUUUCUUGCUUGUAACAUUAGACUAAUGCUAAAGAUUUGCUAUAAAAGGGUAUUGGUCAUUAAAAAAUUUAUGUAAAUACUGGAUGCCAAUACAACAUUUUAAGCACCAAAGAAUGAGGGAAUGAGAAAUUACAGGUACAUAACUUUGUACACCCCAUAAAAUUCUGAGGUGAUGAUAACUUUGUACAGCCCCAUGAAUGUUCUGAGGUGACUGUAUUUUCUUAACUACAAUAAACACUUUCACUUUUGGAAAUACACCAGUAUUACACAUACUUUAGCAAUAUUCACAAUAUUUAAUUUUUCAUAUUUCUUCAUUUGUUAGCAAGUUCAUAGCUUGAUCUUCACAUUGUACUAAUAUUUGAUAGCAACUCUUUUUUUAUAUAACAAAAGUUAGAGACAGCCAAUUUUUUGUGUGGCAAGGUCAGGUUUAGGAUUUUUUUUUCUUUUUUGGGGGGGAAUGGGGUAUAGAUUAAAAAUUUGUCUCGUUACCUUAAUCUCAGAUUUGAGCAAUGUUAUUGUCACUGCACAUGGUGAAGUAUGCAACUUUAUUUUCAUACCCCAUGUUAUGUUUCAUGUACCUGCCCAGUGAAUGAGAAUUGUAGUGGUGAAAACUAAAAUUCUGACUGAAAUCCAGAUGCUGUAUAAUAAAGAGGUAUUUGAAAUC